RNAcentral lists this ribosomal RNA (327 nucleotides) under Enterobacter bugandensis. RNAcentral describes it as "partial 23S ribosomal RNA". The record is from RNAcentral. Lineage: Bacteria; Pseudomonadati; Pseudomonadota; Gammaproteobacteria; Enterobacterales; Enterobacteriaceae.
GGUUAAGCGACUAAGCGUACACGGUGGAUGCCCUGGCAGUCAGAGGCGAUGAAGGACGUGCUAAUCUGCGAAAAGCGACGGCGAGGUGAUAUGAACCUUUGACCCGUCGAUGUCCGAAUGGGGAAACCCAGUGUGAUYCGUCACACUAUCGUUAACUGAAUACAUAGGUUAACGAGGCGAACCGGGGGAACUGAAACAUCUAAGUACCCCGAGGAAAAGAAAUCAACCGAGAUUCCCCCAGUAGCGGCGAGCGAACGGGGAGCAGCCCGGAGUCUGAAUCAGCUUGUGUGUUAGUGGAAGCGUCUGGAAAGUCGCACGGUACAGGGU